GACGAACGCUGGCGGUGUGCUUAACACAUGCAAGUCGAACGGAAAGGCCCUGCUUUUGUGGGGUGCUCGAGUGGCGAACGGGUGAGUCACACGUGAGUUACCUGCCCCUGACUUUGGGAUAACUUCAGGAAAUUGGGGCUAAUACCGUAUAGUAGCUCCUGCUGCAUGGUGGGGGUUGGAAUGUUUCUGCGGUUGGGGAUGGUCUCGCGGUAUAUCAGCUUGUUGGUGGGGUUGUGGCUUACAAAGGUUUUGACGGAUCGCCGGCCUGAGAGGGUGACCGGCCACAGUGGGACUGAGAUACGGCACAGACUCCUACGAGGCACAGCAGUGGGGAAUAUUGCACAAUGGGCGGGACCCUGAUGCAGCAACGCCGCGUGCGAGAUGACGGCCUGCGGGGUGUAAACCGCUUUCGCCUGUGACGAAGCGUGAGUGACGGUAAUAGGUAAAGAAGCACCGGCUAACUACGUG
Molecule: ribosomal RNA, 468 nt
Filed under: uncultured bacterium
Lineage: Bacteria
Description: partial 16S ribosomal RNA
Rfam family: Bacterial small subunit ribosomal RNA
Source: RNAcentral